AGGGAUCAGUGAAUUUUAACUCUGGAGUCCUCUAUGCUAAGGAUGCUCAGCUUACAGAUGAUGAAAUGUUCAGUAAUGUAUUUGCUGGAGCUGUGCUUACCCAAGGUUUGGGUAAAACAAGCUUUGGGUUCCUUCUGUCUCACUGGGAGUUGCCCAAUUCAGUUGCAUCUGGUGAAAUUCACCCUGAGACCUUAUAGAACCAGCUCCAACUACGUGAGAGCCAUUUGCAGUUCUCUCCAGACGCCUGGAGAAUGGGCGACGUUUCUGAGGAUCCGGCGAGCGUGCUUCUGUCAAAACUCAGUCUGUGAAAUUUCUGGGGAAAACCCUUCUGUGUCCUGAAGGGUUCAAACUCUGGUGAGGAUCCAGUUAUCAGGUGCUCACCUGGAUGGUUCCAGCUGCCAAAGGUAACACUUGUACUCUUGCCCUGUAGUUUACAUCUAUUGUAUUUUUGUUAUUUUGCAGGAUUUUUUGUCUUUGCAAAAUAUUGUGCAUUUCACUCUUUGGAACCUCUCAGAUGGUUCUUUGGUGCAGCACCACCCCAGGGGACACUUGGCUGCUGUCCUGAAGGGGUUGGUCGCUAGAAUUGUAAAUCCUGGAGAGUUUGUAAGUCUUCUGUCCCCAGGGAGGUAUCAUGCUUUGUUUACUUUUGUUCUGUUGGUUAGGCGCUGCCUCUCGUUGCAAGUAUGAAUUUCAAACUGCCCUGUUCUUAUUUUAACUUUUUUCCUGGUUCUCUCCGUCCGGCAGGGAAAGACUCUCGUAUCCUUGUCGUCGGGCUCGGUGCUGUCCAAGAAGAUACAGAGACUAAAAAAAUCAUAAGAAGCAAAAUAUGACUGCAGGGAAAAGAAGCUGGAGAGAACAGAAGGGGCUGUUUCCAAAGUGACCUACAGACAUUGGAAUGAAAUCAUUAUUUACUGUGUAAAAGAAUCACUCUCCAAAGCAUCAGCCAAGGUCUAAAUGUGCCAUUCUGCCUUUUAAAAGUACCAACAUCACAGGAUUUUUCUCAGAUUAAAGCUUCCAUGGAGUCGGAUCUCUCAAGCCUGGCCCUUGAGAAUUGUGGGCCUCCUGUGAACUGGUCUUGCCAGAAGGGCUUGCUGAGUUUUCCAUUGUGUGGAAAAGAGAUCCCAUUUGCAGCCUGAAGCCUCAUGUUUCCUGUAGGAUUUCUACUCCUAGAAUUGCACACUUUGAAGGAUUUCUUAUAGCAGAAGUUUUUUGGGAACUAGGACUCUGGUUGGAUUUGGGUCUCUGGACUCUCAGGUGAAGUGACCUUGAGACACUAGGGCAUGCAGAUUUCCUUGCUGUUGAAAAGAGCUAUUGUUCGCACCCAGGAGCCAUGGUCUGAAUGGGGGUGUCACCUCUUAAAUUUGCAAAUGUCACAGGAUUUCUUCUAAAUGAAUGGUGCUAAGAACAUAAGGUCUGGCUGGCUUUCGACUUAGAGGCGCCUCCUCUAAAUUGGUCUUCAGACGCUAGGUUGGAAAGUGUUCCUACAUAUGCCAAAUAGCCCUUGCUAUGCAAUUAAUAAGCUUCAAAUUACCAUGGAGUUGCUGCCCCUGCAAAGAUUUUGGCAGAGCCUGGUUGUGGUGCCCCACUCCACUCCACCACCCUUAGCAGGUCCUUAUGGUUGCAUGGGGAAUCAUCGUGGAGCAUGCCAACCCAGCUCCAUCCUGGGAACAGCACCUGUAUUUUACCCUAAAAUUUCUGUCCCAUUAUAGCUCCUGUUAGGAUACAAAUGUAACUUCUCGGUUUCCACUGAUUUUACCCCCAGUCAUCUUUCCAUACAGACAUUGCUCCACUCCCCAGAGGAUUAUUGUGAGCAGAUGUGAGUUCUGCUGUCCCUUUGGACUGACAAAGACAGAGGUUUUGUCCCAAGUUGCUUUUGAACCUGUCCUGCACCUGUUACGAGUCCUCAGUCUCCUGCAAUUUUGUGGGUCAGUCACAUGUAAAACAGCACAGCUGGCUGGCAUGCUUUGCUCAUGAGGGGAGACAAGAGAAGAAUUCCUCUGCUCACAC
Long non-coding RNA from Melospiza georgiana, 2007 nucleotides. RefSeq lists it as uncharacterized. The record is from RefSeq and is a predicted model, not a curated record. The transcript has 3 exons. Lineage: Eukaryota; Metazoa; Chordata; Aves; Passeriformes; Passerellidae.